GGACAUAGCUCAGUGGUAGAGUAGAAGUCUAGCAUGCACAAGGUCCUGGGUUCAACCCCCAGUGCUUCCA
This 70-nucleotide transfer RNA is filed under the name Camelus bactrianus (Bactrian camel). It matches the Rfam family "tRNA". From Rfam's summary of the family: Transfer RNA (tRNA) molecules are approximately 80 nucleotides in length. Lineage: Eukaryota; Metazoa; Chordata; Mammalia; Artiodactyla; Camelidae. RNAcentral also lists the same sequence under 3 other names. The record is from Rfam by way of RNAcentral.